GGUGGGGACGACGUCAAGUCAUCAUGGCCCUUAUGUCCUGGGCUACACACGUGCUACAAUGGCCGGUACAGAGCGCAGCGAGGCCGCGAGGCGGAGCGAAUCGCUUAAAGCCGGUCCCAGUACGGAUUGGAGUCUGCAACCCGACUCCAUCGAAGUUGGAAUCGCUAGUAAUCGCGCAUCAGCAUGGCGCGGUGAAUACGUUCCCGGGCCUU
RNAcentral lists this ribosomal RNA (212 nucleotides) under uncultured Spirochaeta sp. RNAcentral describes it as "partial 16S ribosomal RNA". It matches the Rfam family "Bacterial small subunit ribosomal RNA", at positions 1172 to 1382 of the family's 1533-position model. Lineage: Bacteria; Pseudomonadati; Spirochaetota; Spirochaetia; Spirochaetales; Spirochaetaceae. The record is from RNAcentral.